This 73-nucleotide transfer RNA is filed under the name Medakamo hakoo. Its description in RNAcentral is "trnM-CAU". It matches the Rfam family "tRNA". Rfam says of the family: Transfer RNA (tRNA) molecules are approximately 80 nucleotides in length. Their secondary structure includes four short double-helical elements and three loops (D, anti-codon, and T loops). Lineage: Eukaryota; Viridiplantae; Chlorophyta; Trebouxiophyceae; Coccomyxaceae. The record is from RNAcentral.
AGUGGGGAAGAGGUAUGGUUUCCUCGUCAGGCUCAUAAUCUGAAGAUUGUAGGUUCGAAUCCUACCCCCGCUU